CAGCAGGUAAUAAUUUAUUGAAAAUCUUUGGCAUAAAUAUGACAAAGGAAUCUUACAUUUGCUUAGACUUAUUUUUUUUUUUUUUGGAUUAUUGGAAGCAGCCCAAGCAAAACUGAAUGAAUGGACGGCAUGCAGGAGAUCCUGCGCACAUCGCAGUCAGGGAGGAAACAGGAUGUCUGGAACAAGCGCAGGUGAUGCCUCUGGGCUUGACCUUGACACUGCAGCUGGUGCUUGCAGGGCUGGAUUCCUGUCUUCUUGAGCCUUGUGAAGCUUGGCAGUGUACAACAGCCUACCAUGCAUCACAGGAUGCAUUUUCAGGACCGGAAGCCAAGCUGUUAUUGUUAUUUACAGAGAACCUUUUCGCCAUAUGGGAGGCUUUCCUUCUAGAAAAGUUUCAAAUGCAGCAACCGAUCCUGCACUGCUCUUCCAUCACUCUUGUACAGGUCAUGGUGGGACAGCUGGAAGCCUCUUUCUGUCUUCGUUCAAACAAGUACCAAAGAGAGUUUUACGAGAUCCAUCAGCAAAUGCUGCAAUCCAAGCACAUGCUAGGGCAACUCACAGUCACUUUGAAAGCAGGACUGCCCUGUGAUUUCAGCAGGGACUUCCUGAAAACACGUGGUGCAGUGUGGUCUUUGGCAUUUAUAUCCCGUCUCACUUCAGGCAUGGGGGAAAAAAAAACAACCCAGGAAAAUUUAAAUAAAACAAAUCAAGAUUAGUGUAAUCUCAGCGUUAUGAAUGUAUAUGCUCCGACUUCAGGAAAUUAUCUUUUUCAGCCUUCCAUCAACUCAGCUGUUGAGCAUAUGUUGGCCUUGGUUAGUUUUGUUAUGUUUGAGGGCACAGACAUCAGUAUGUAUCUAAUAUUUGUUUCAUAUCUCUGAGAUUUACAAUUGAUAUGUAUACUUUAAUACUUCUGAUAACAUAUAAUGUUUGUCUUCUAAAUCUCUGGGACAGUGGCCAUCAGCCUGUUCUUGUGCUGGUAACAAUAAGUUAAUGCACAUGUGCAUGUGUAUGCAUAUCUAUGGCUCUUGAUAUGUGACUAUGUCUCCUUGGGACUAUCGGUAGGUGCAGGACGCAUUUACCAGGAUAUUAUGCACCUCUGGAGACACACUAGUGCAGCUCAGAGCUGGGCCAAUGACAGCAGCUUGAUCAGAGCUGUGUCCAGUCUGGGCUUUAACAUGUGUUAGUAGAAAGGUGGCAGAACAUGAGACAGCAGUGGGCAAGAAAGCCAAUGGCAUCCUGCCUUGUAUCUGAUAGUGCAGCCAGUGGGAGCAGGGAGGUGAUCAUCCCUCUGGACUCAGCCCUAGUGAGGCCACACCUUGAGUACUGUGUUCAGUUUUGGGCUACUCACUACAAGAAAAACAUUGAGGCUCUGGAGUGUGUCCAGAGAAGAGCAACAAAGCUGUGAAGGUCUGGAGCACAAGUCGUAUGGGGAGUGACUGAGAGAACUGGGAUUGCUCAGUCUGGAGGAGAAUCGGGGAUGACCUUAUUGCUCUCCACAACAUGAAAGGAGGCUGUGGUGAGGCAGGGGUUGGCCUCUUCUCACAGGUGACCCCUAUAGGAUGAGAGGUAUUAUGUUAUCGACCUUACGUUGCACCAGGGGAAGUUCAGGUUGGAUAUUAGGAAACAUUUCUUCUCAGAAUGAGUGUUGAUGCACUGACACUGGCUGCCCAGGGUGAUGCUGUAGUCACCAACCCUGGAGGUGUUCAAGAAAAGGGC
Long non-coding RNA from Coturnix japonica (Japanese quail), 1716 nucleotides. Lineage: Eukaryota; Metazoa; Chordata; Aves; Galliformes; Phasianidae. The record is from Ensembl.